This is a non-coding RNA of Triticum aestivum (bread wheat), 135 nucleotides long. The record is from Rfam. NCBI's taxonomy places the organism in Eukaryota, Viridiplantae, Streptophyta, Magnoliopsida, Poales, Poaceae.
UUUGUACUCCCUCCGUCCCAAAAUUCUUGUCUUAAAUUUGUCUAAAUACGGAUGUAUCUAGUUAGAUUUUAGUGUUAGAUACAUCCGUAUCUAAACAAAUGUAAGACAAGAAUUUUGGGACGAAGGGAAUACUAC